This 545-nucleotide ribosomal RNA is filed under the name uncultured bacterium. RNAcentral describes it as "bacterial SSU rRNA". It matches the Rfam family "Bacterial small subunit ribosomal RNA", at positions 777 to 1320 of the family's 1533-position model. The record is from RNAcentral.
AAUAGAUACCCCGGUAGUCCACCCCGUAAACGUUGGGAACUAGUUGUGGGGUCCUUUCCACGGAUUCCGUGACGCAGCUAACGCAUUAAGUUCCCCGCCUGGGGAGUACGGCCGCAAGGCUAAAACUCAAAGGAAUUGACGGGGACCCGCACAAGCGGCGGAGCAUGCGGAUUAAUUCGAUGCAACGCGAAGAACCUUACCAAGGCUUGACAUACACGAGAACGGGCCAGAAAUGGUCAACUCUUUGGACACUCGUGAACAGGUGGUGCAUGGUUGUCGUCAGCUCGUGUCGUGAGAUGUUGGGUUAAGUCCCGCAACGAGCGCAACCCUCGUUCUAUGUUGCCAGCACGUAAUGGUGGGAACUCAUGGGAUACUGCCGGGGUCAACUCGGAGGAAGGUGGGGAUGACGUCAAAUCAUCAUGCCCCUUAUGUCUUGGGCUUCACGCAUGCUACAAUGGCCGGUACAAUGGGCUGCGAUACCGUAAGGUGGAGCGAAUCCCAAAAAGCCGGUCCCAGUUCGGAUUGAGGUCUGCAACUCGACCUCA